RNAcentral lists this ribosomal RNA (265 nucleotides) under uncultured bacterium. Its description in RNAcentral is "partial 16S ribosomal RNA". It matches the Rfam family "Bacterial small subunit ribosomal RNA", at positions 333 to 595 of the family's 1533-position model. The record is from RNAcentral.
AUCUCCCUACGGGGCGCAGCAGUGAGGAAUAUUGGUCAAUGGGCGCGAGCCUGAACCAGCCAAGUAGCGUGAAGGAUGACUGCCCUACGGGUUGUAAACUUCUUUUAUAAAGGAAUAAAGUGAGGCACGUGUGCCUUUUUGUAUGUAUUUUAUGAAUAAGGAUCGGCUAACUCCGUGCCAGCAGCCGCGGUAAUACGGAGGAUCCGAGCGUUAUCCGGAUUUAUUGGGUUUAAAGGGAGCGUAGAUGGGUUGUUAGGUCAGUUGU